Molecule: non-coding RNA, 592 nt
Organism: Chelmon rostratus (copperband butterflyfish)
Lineage: Eukaryota; Metazoa; Chordata; Actinopteri; Chaetodontiformes; Chaetodontidae
Source: the annotation of a RefSeq genome assembly
CUGGAAGCCUUUUUUCCACACUGUUCCACUCAACUUUUUACCUCCACUAGAGGGCCACAUUAUCAAGCAGGCGCUGCACUACUUCUGCACUGUGUUCAACCAUCUGUCAAUAAUAACUGCUGCUGUGAAGAGAACCAUUCUCACUCUGAAUGCUGAACAUCAGCUACUUUCUCCUCUUCAUUUCAGCCUCGUUGUACACAUGGAACAUUGGCUGUGGAUUAUUCUUGCUGCUCUUUGCUUUGAGUGUAAAGGAGAAGACAGAGUGAUCCAGCCAACAGCAGAUGUCAUUGCUACUGAAGGAGGCACAGUUACACUGGACUGUACAUUUGAGAGUUCCACCACUCCAACUUUGUUCUGGUACAAACAGGAUGGAAACAACAGCCCCAAAUUCAUACUGAGUCGCUUUCAACGGGAUCAAGGGAACACAGCAGACGAGUCCAAGGAGAGAUUUUCUUCCACACUGAAUUCCACCUUAAAAUCAGUUCCUCUGAAGAUCCAGAAGCUUCAGCUGUCUGACUCUGCUGUGUACUACUGUGCUCUGCAGCCCACAGUGACAGGAAACAGCAAAACUCUGCACACGUCACUGCACUGA